RNAcentral lists this unclassified non-coding RNA (408 nucleotides) under Hevea brasiliensis (rubber tree). The record is from RNAcentral. Lineage: Eukaryota; Viridiplantae; Streptophyta; Magnoliopsida; Malpighiales; Euphorbiaceae.
ACCUCCUUCUCCUCCUCUCAGAGAAGCCCUACCCCUCUUGAGUUUAAGUCCAUCAAGGGAUGACAAAGACCAAGAACAAGAAGGUGAAGAUGAAAAUCAAGAACAAGUAAGUUGCACUGCUAUGGAUGUGGACAAGAUCAACAAUAUAAACAAGGCCAAAGAUCAUGGGAGUUUCUUUUCUUCUAGUGCUGGUAGUGAUACCAAUGAAGAUGAGACUGUUACUGUUGCACUGCAUAUAGGGUUGCCAAGCCCUAGUGCUGCAGAGAUGGCCUCUGUCUUGUCUUCUUCUUCGGAGGUUACUGACAAAGAUGGAGAUGGUGAUGAUUCUGGGUUCCCCUUUAGCAGGCUCAAUAAGGGUCAGUAUUGGAUCCCUACCCCUACCCAGAUUCUGAUUGGUCCUACUCAGUU